This 1538-nucleotide long non-coding RNA is filed under the name Homo sapiens (human). Its description in RNAcentral is "HSALNT0043934". The record is from RNAcentral. Lineage: Eukaryota; Metazoa; Chordata; Mammalia; Primates; Hominidae.
CAGAGGAGCGCUGUUUCUGGAGGAGUUAGGGGAAGGAGGCUGCCUGGUAAGCCAGGAAAGGGGCUUCUGGCCGUUCUGUUGGAGCGCCUCUGACUGACUUCCCCCAUGUGUCCGUGUGGCCACACCGUGCUACUUUCAGAGGCAGUGGGCUUUUCGCUAAGGGAUAAAAAGAAGUAAAACCUUGCCUUUAGCGCAGCUCUCCUUCACUGGGCAGAUUGCUCUCCCUCCCCACUCUCCCAGGCCCAAAUUGGAUCUCAGCGCCUGGGAGCUCCAACUUUAGCAAGUGCGAAAUCCUGUCUUCGGUUUUGGAAUUUUCAUCCGCACAGACUAUAUCAGCCACGGAUAGGAUAUGUGAGAAUACCAGCAUGUCAAGGCUGGGAAUCAUCCUUAGGCAUCACCUAGCCAGUCCUGCCUCUCAUUUUAAGAUGCAGAGUGUUCAUAUGAGGAGAGACUUUCCCUUGUCUCCGUCAUCUGUGAUUUCACUUCCCUGACAGAAGACGAAGCUUCCAUCUCAGAUGUUUUCUUAAAUGAUGAAACAGCAUACGCCUCUGUUCUUGUCAGCUCAGGGAAAACAGAUCUGGGGACCUCUUCAUCUCUGCGUUGGGAAGCAUAGGUGGUAUAAUCCCCUCCUGUCACGUCCAACGUUGCAUAGUCAGAAGCUUCGCCCUUGUAGUUGGUGCACACAGCACGGUGAUCACAGGAUCUGGUUUGCCACUGAAAGGAAUCUUGAUGCUGACCACUUCACCUCGGAGAGCAUGAACUGCUCCCAUGCCUUCAAGAGUUUUAGUGGGUAACCAGGAUGGAACUGCGGUGUUGCUUGCAGGAGAAGCUUACUACUGGUUUCUACUUCUCCAACCUCAUUGGUGGCUAUGCAGAGAAUAGACGCCUUGAUGGCUCCUCUGGCAGUUCUUGAUGACCAUGGAUGAGCUAAUGGCUGUGGUCUCAAUGGUGGCUUCUUGAGAUGGUAUUGCCUCUGAAUUUGCUGAUUCAGAAGAUGUCGGACUCAUGUUAUCCUAUAGAAGAUGUAACAACCCAUAUACAUUUAUGAAAAUCAGGAACUACAUUAUUAUAAUGAUGAAGGAAAAGCCCAAGAAAUCAACCAACCUGAAACCUGCAAUGAAGCUGUGCAGCUGUCUUUGCCAACAGGGUUCUGCACCUCAAAACUGUAUACCCCACUGUCACUCGGUGCUACAUUGAUGAUCUUAAGGCCGGAUACUUUGUUGAAGAAGCUUAUUUUGUAUUUGUUGUCACUUGUUAGCUCUUUUCCAUCCUUAAACCACUUAGUACUGAGUUCAGGGGUGCCAGCUACUGUACACUCCAAGGUACAGGUGUCUCCCGUGGUAACUUUUAUGGAUUCUGGCUUUUCUACAAUUGUUGCAGGCUCUGGAAUGAAAUGUAAAAGAUAUCCAUAUUUUAAACUCAAAUUGAAAAACUAAAGAAAAUACAGAUCCUGGUGAGUGUGUGCCUUGUAUCUGUGAUAACAUCAUCUUUUUACUAACCGAGAACGGAUAGCGUGGCGAAGCACUCUUGCAUCCCAG